AUGACGAGUAGGAUGGGAUUCUUGAAGGUGAAACUUAACAUUGUCUUUAGUGUUAUUGCAGAAACAUUGAGAGCUAGAAGCACUUUGGAUGUAGAUAACCACAAUAUGUUCCUUCGUAUUUAUAAGUUAAUAGAUACUCAUGAAGAGAUCUCAAUUAGUCAUACUUUCAGGGAAACUAAUCAAUGUGCUGAUGUGCUGAUGUGCUUGCUAAUAUUAAAGUUGAUAUAG
This is a non-coding RNA of Vicia faba (fava bean), 228 nucleotides long. Lineage: Eukaryota; Viridiplantae; Streptophyta; Magnoliopsida; Fabales; Fabaceae. The record is from the annotation of a GenBank genome assembly.